Molecule: unclassified non-coding RNA, 477 nt
Filed under: uncultured Glomus
Lineage: Eukaryota; Fungi; Glomeromycota; Glomeromycetes; Glomerales; Glomeraceae
Description: SSU rRNA
Rfam family: Eukaryotic small subunit ribosomal RNA
Source: RNAcentral
AGCAGCCGCGGUAAUUCCAGCUCCAAUAGCGUAUAUUAAAGUUGUUGCAGUUAAAAAGCUCGUAGUUGAAUUUCGAGAUCAAAUUGUUGGUCGUGCCUUGGUACGCACUGGCAUUAUUGGUUUCUCCCUUCUGACGAACCAUGAUGUCAUUAAUUUGGUGUCUUGGGGAAUCAGGACUGUUACUUUGAAAAAUUAGAGUGUUUAAAGCAGGCUCACGCUUGAAUACAUUAGCAUGGAAUAAUGAAAUAGGACGUUUGAUUCUAUUUUGUUGGUUUCUAGGAUCGACGUAAUGAUUAAUAGGGAUAGUUGGGGGCAUUAGUAUUCAAUUGUCAGAGGUGAAAUUCUUGGAUUUAUUGAAGACUAACUACUGCGAAAGCAUUUGCCAAGGAUGUUUUCAUUAAUCAAGAACGAAAGUUAGGGGAUCGAAGACGAUCAGAUACCGUCGUAGUCUUAGCCAUAAACUAUGCCGACUAGGGA